UACGGAGGGCGCAAGCGUUGCUCGGAAUCAUUGGGCGUAAAGCGCACGCAGGCGGUUCGUCAAGUCGGGUGUGAAAGCCCAGGGCUCAACCCUGGAUGGUCAUCCGAAACUGGCGAGCUAGAGGUCGGGAGAGGGAAGCGGAAUUCCUGGUGUAGAGGUGAAAUUCGUAGAUAUCAGGAGGAACACCGGUGGCGAAGGCGGCUUCCUGGCCCGAUUCUGACGCUCAUGUGCGAAAGCGUGGGUAG
This 245-nucleotide ribosomal RNA is filed under the name uncultured bacterium. RNAcentral's name for it is "partial 16S ribosomal RNA". It matches the Rfam family "Bacterial small subunit ribosomal RNA", at positions 524 to 768 of the family's 1533-position model. The record is from RNAcentral.